UGUUCCUUCAUUUUCUUUAAGAGCUACCAGAAAGCAGCCCACCCCCACUCUCAUAAAAAAAAAAAAAAGCGAGUGGGGAAGAGCCAGCCCCACGCCGGUCCGCCUCCCGCUCGCUGCCGGGCCUCCCUCCCGCCUGCCCGCCGCCUGGCUCGGAGAUCCUUCGCCCAGAGUUCUCCAUUCUCAGGAUCCCGGGCUCGCGGGGGUGCGGAGAAGAGGACCCAGGAAAGGGUAGUAAAAAGGCAGAGACCGCUGGCUGGAGCUGCUAUGGCACCGUGAGCUGCAGCUGAUCUCUGGGAUCUAGCUCCCCGGAGUGCGGAGUGCAAAUGGAAAUGGUGUCCUCAUCCACAUCAACCGUGAAGGACAGACAGUCCCCGGGAUCUAGUAAACCCUCAGAAAACACUAGUGGAGAAGACAGAAGCGGAGUGAUCCAGCGUCAGAGGGGCCGGCGUGAACUGGAAUGUGAAAUGCACUUUCAGGCCACAAGACUUUGCCCCACCCUGCACCUCGGCCAAAGUCUUUCCUUCAUCCAGGAAUGCUUUCCUUAGCAAUGAAAGAACAAGACCUUCCUGCAGGUGUUGGCCCUACUACUUUCCAUUGGUAAUACACUACAUGGUUGGGUACCUGAUUUGAGUGUCGCCUAGGAAGGGACUUCAGAGAAGGCCAAGAAUGCUUUUUCUUUACAAAGGAUCCUCUUUCCGCCCCUCUCAUGUGUGAGCCACAUCUUUAGAUUCAGCCUUCUGGCGAGUAGAAAGAGCAGUGGCCUGGAAGUCUACUGUAGAGCUUAGAAAUCUAUCUAAAAGGAGCCGGGGUACAAAGAGGGCAUGGAGUGAUUUGUGUAAUGAUUUCAAUAGAGCGUGCGAGCCUUCGGAGCUUGUGGGAGUUGAAUGUAUGGCUUGGUUUCCAGCCUGCGAGCAUCCUUGGCUUUCUGCAUUUUCAUUGCUGAAGUCCUUCCUGGGCAGGUGGUGGCUUUGGGUGGUCCCCCGAGGCCCUCCUUGCCAUUCUUCUAGAAGCAUUCCAGGGCCCCCCCCCCCCUGGAAGAGCGCCCUGCUGCGCCAUUUGCUUGCUGGAUAUCGUUAUGACUGAGCUCUUGCAGCUGAAGCCAUUAAAGGCUGUUCUCCUUUUCAUUCCUCCUGGUUCCCUCUCAGCCCUGCCUCGGAGAAACCUCUGAUUUUCACUUGUGAGAUGCUCGGCUGAGCUUGUCAUACCCUAAAAGGUGAUUUCAGUUCUCUGAUGCCAAAGAGCCCUUUUCUGCUAAUCAAAACACAGCUGCAGAGGCCCGUGUGAUUUGCUAAUGGGCACCCCAACUCGGGGGGGUGUAUGUCUGUCUAUACCUGGAAAAUAGAUGUAAUUAGGAUAACAGAUAUCAUAAGGAUAUGCUAAUGCAUCAGGUAAAAAAAAAAAAUGGGCUGGGACGUCGACAAGCUCUUGAUGUUGAACCCCACCAGGCCAGCUGUGCGACUUAAGGAAAGGCCAAUGCCAGCACCCACAAGCCUUCUCCAGUACCAGUCCUGGAGUCCCCUCUGCAUCUGUUUCACCCCCUCU
Long non-coding RNA from Mus pahari (shrew mouse), 1542 nucleotides. RefSeq lists it as uncharacterized. Lineage: Eukaryota; Metazoa; Chordata; Mammalia; Rodentia; Muridae. The transcript has 3 exons. The record is from RefSeq and is a predicted model, not a curated record.